Molecule: ribosomal RNA, 454 nt
Filed under: uncultured Syntrophus sp.
Lineage: Bacteria; Pseudomonadati; Thermodesulfobacteriota; Syntrophia; Syntrophales; Syntrophaceae
Description: bacterial SSU rRNA
Rfam family: Bacterial small subunit ribosomal RNA
Source: RNAcentral
AAGCGGUGGAGCAUGUGGUUUAAUUCGAUGCAACGCGAAGAACUUACCUGGCUUGACAUCCCGAGAAUCCCCUGGAAACAGGGGAGUGCCUUUCGGGGAACUCGGAGACAGGUGCUGCAUGGCUGUCGUCAGCUCGUGUCGUGAGAUGUUGGGUUAAGUCCCGCAACGAGCGCAACCCUUGUCUUUAAUUGCCAGCAUUCAGUUGGGCACUUUAAAGAGACUGCCGGUGUUAAGCCGGAGGAAGGUGGGGAUGACGUCAAGUCCUCAUGGCCUUUAUGCCCAGGGCCACACACGUGCUACAAUGGGUGGUACAAAGAGAUGCCAACUCGCGAGAGCGCGCCAAUCUCAGAAAGCCAUCCUCAGUUCGGAUUGGAGUCUGCAACUCGACUCCAUGAAGUUGGAAUCGCUAGUAAUCGCGGAUCAGCACGCCGCGGUGAAUACGUUCCCGGGCCUU